Eutrema salsugineum is the source of this 1566-nucleotide RNA transcript. It is a transcript of the gene named protein REVEILLE 8, with no coding region annotated. The record is from RefSeq and is a predicted model, not a curated record. Lineage: Eukaryota; Viridiplantae; Streptophyta; Magnoliopsida; Brassicales; Brassicaceae. The transcript has 8 exons.
CACAUAAUUUACACACCAACCUCUUUGCCUGCCCGCCAUGUGGAAUUUUCCCCUUUCUCUCUCUUCCUUCUCUACUUUCUCUCUCUAAAAAAAACACUGUUCGCUAUCUGAACUAAACCCGAUGAGCUCGUCGCCGUCAACAAGGAAACCGACGUCCGUCGAAGAUCCACCGUCAUCAUCGACAUCGACGGAUGCGACAACGACGGUCGCGGCUGCGGAGGGUUCGUCGAAGAAAGUGAGGAAACCUUAUACCAUCACCAAGUCCAGGGAGAGCUGGACAGAGGAAGAGCACGAUAAGUUUCUUGAAGCUCUUCAACUGUUUGAUCGUGACUGGAAAAAGAUAGAAGAUUUUGUGGGCUCAAAGACUGUUAUUCAGAUAAGGAGCCAUGCACAGAAAUACUUUUUAAAGGUUCAGAAGAGUGGGACACUAGCACAUGUGCCACCCCCUCGGCCUAAGCGCAAAGCAGCUCAUCCUUAUCCUCAAAAGGCAUCCAAGAAUGCUCAAAUGCCACUUCAAGCCUCCACUUCAUUUACAACAACAACAAAUUGCGACAUGCCGGGAUAUACUUCGUGGGAUGAUGCAUCGAUGCUGCUAAACAGAGUUGUUUCACAACAGCAGGAACUUGCUACUCUUCGUGGAGGAGAAGCUGAUAUUGGAUCGAAGGGGAUCUUAAAUGUUAGUAGUAGCCCUUCGACAUCUGGUAUGGGAAGCUCAAGCCGAACAAUAUCUGCUUCUGAGAUUGUAAAACACGCAGAACAACCUCCAGUGCUUCACGGUGUUCCUGAUUUUGCUGAAGUUUAUAACUUCAUCGGGAGUGUCUUUGAUCCUGAAACGAGAGGCCACGUAGAAAAGCUCAAGGAAAUGGAUCCUAUAAAUUUCGAAACUGUUUUGUUAUUGAUGAGAAACCUCACAGUUAACUUAUCAAACCCUGAUUUCGAAUCCGCUGUAAGUGUUAAAUUUACGAUAAAAAAGGCUUGUGAUGACCAACUUUGUCAGAUCAGUCUGAACUAUUUCACUUACAAAGUUGGGUUGUCACUUCUGUCAUAGUUCUUACAUUUGCUCUAACCCUUGCGUGAUCAAGUGUAAUCUAACCUUGGCUAGUCCGACUGUAAUGAUGCUGCAGAGGAAGGUCCUCUCAUCAUAUGAAGUAAACGCCGAUUUCCCAAGUGUUACCAGUGGUUCCCUUGUCAAAGACUCAACAAGCGACUAGUCAUCUUAACGAAGGUAUCAGCCAUCACUUUAUCAAGUUUACUCGUCGGUUUUCCAUGUUUAAUAAACUUUGAGUUAUACGUCACUGGGAAUCACAAUCUUGUCCAUGAGAAUGGGGAUUCUGUAUAGGGUGUUUAUACGGUUUGUUGUUUUGAGGAAAACAAACAUAAGUCAAGUUUUCAAGCCUUAGUGCAGAUUUAGCCAAGAAUACUAGUUCGGUGAGUGGUAGGUAUAUAUAUUAUAUAUAUAUAUAAAGGAUUCUUGUUCUUCAAGCUGCGGUUGCAGGGCAGCCUCAUCCUCAGCCGCUGGUUAACUUUUUUGUAGAAAUUGCUCUUUCUCUUUAUAUAUUUUUUUGG